Etheostoma spectabile (orangethroat darter) is the source of this 185-nucleotide long non-coding RNA. RefSeq lists it as uncharacterized. The record is from RefSeq and is a predicted model, not a curated record. The transcript is spliced from 3 exons. Lineage: Eukaryota; Metazoa; Chordata; Actinopteri; Perciformes; Percidae.
GGACUCGAUGGGAUUCAUGAUUUUUUAAGUUCUUGUUUAACAGAAUGAGCUACAGACAAAUGACUGAAAAAUAUUCCUUAAUUUGUAUAAACUGUGCAAAACAACAGACGUGUCCUCAUAUCAAAAGUGCAACUGAUAUUGAAAUUUAUCUUAAACAAACAUUAAAUAAAUGUAUGGUAGAUUAC